CCCUUAGAUGUUCUGGGCCGCACGCGUGCUACACUGAGUGGAUCAGCGGGUCAGGUUGCGCGAAAGCGUUUCCUAAUCUUUAAAUCCGCUCGUGAUGGGGAUUGACGGUUGCAAUUUUCUGUCAUGAACGAGGAAUACCUUGUAAGCGCGGGUCAUCAUCCCGCGCUGAAUACGUCCCUGCCCUUUGUACACACCGCCCGUCGCUCCUACCGAUUGAGUGGUCCGGUGAAGCCUCGGGAUUGUGACGAGUUCCCUUCAUUGGGAGUUGGUCGCGAGAACUUGUCUAAACCUUAUCAUUUAGAGGAAGGUGAAGUCGUAACA
RNAcentral lists this ribosomal RNA (321 nucleotides) under uncultured eukaryote. RNAcentral's name for it is "partial 18S ribosomal RNA". It matches the Rfam family "Eukaryotic small subunit ribosomal RNA", at positions 1470 to 1796 of the family's 1831-position model. The record is from RNAcentral.